GACGAACGCUGGCGGCGUGCUUAACACAUGCAAGUCGAACGGAAAGGCCCUGCUUUUGUGGGGUGCUCGAGUGGCGAACGGGUGAGUAACACGUGAGUAACCUGCCCUUGACUUUGGGAUAACUUCAGGAAACUGGGGCUAAUACCGGAUAGGAGCUCCUGCUGCAUGGUGGGGGUUGGAAAGUUUCGGCGGUUGGGGAUGGACUCGCGGCUUAUCAGCUUGUUGGUGGGGUAGUGGCUUACCAAGGCUUUGACGGGUAGCCGGCCUGAGAGGGUGACCGGGGCCACUGUGACUCUGAGACGCCCCAGAGUCUCCUAGGGGGGGGAGGUGGGGGAUAUAUCGCACUAGGCGCGGGCGUCUGACGCAGCAGCGGCGCGUGCGAUAUCACCCUCUUCGGGUUGUACCCCGCUCUCGCGUGUCAAGAAGUGUGUGUCACUGUUAUGGGUAGAGACGCCCCCGCUCUCUACG
Molecule: ribosomal RNA, 468 nt
Filed under: uncultured bacterium
Lineage: Bacteria
Description: partial 16S ribosomal RNA
Rfam family: Bacterial small subunit ribosomal RNA
Source: RNAcentral